GUGUGAAACUUGAUUGUUUAGACCAUUGGUUGUCGAGAUAUUGAAUCGGAUGGAUGUGUAGUUCAUCUAAUUAGCUGAUACACCAUGGCCAACCGCUGACGGUCACAUAUACAUGCCUGAAUUGUGGAUCUUCAUCUCUGCCAUUGCUGUUAAUAAAAAAGAUAAGCGGUAUCAUUUUAAAGGUCAAAGAUGACGUUAGACAGGCAUGCUUAAAGAGAUAAUUGUGAUGUGCGAUUGUUGUUGACUUCCUUUGGUAAGCAUUACUGCUGUUGGUAUACAGACAGACAACACUGUCCAUUCGACUUGAUUUAUAGAGCUAGGUCGUUUAAACAUUGUUGGCACUCAAACUUGGGCAAGGCUCCUCAGUUUACAGCGAGGGACACACUUUUUUGCCCGCAAGCGUAAACACACUGACGUGGGUCAAUGGUGCGAAAGCGAGUCCGAGUCAGCGUAAACAUUGUUAAAACGCAUUAGCUCUGAAAAUCAAGUUUAAUCGAUAGCGGGUUCGUUCUGUUUUCCAACAGCAGUACUGUUUACCAAAGGCAGAAAGUAAGGUCUUGCAUCAUCUUAUCUUUUUUUUCAGUGCUGCAGUAUAACGUAAACUCUGACAUUUUGUUGCAUAUGGACGUAUUCUAAUUUACCUAUAUAUGCUAAUACGUGUUUACGUUAUUUAUCUUCAACUAAAUUGGAAAACAAUAUAGCACAUGGUUAUUUGGAACACUUUACAAUUUAAUCAAUUUAUUUGGACACAAAAUAUUGGCGAUGUAUUCUUUGUCUGUAUUCAAUAAAUGUCGUGGUGGUAUCUCUAACAUAUGUUUGUUCAACAGCUGUCCGUGCAUUGGGAUAAGGGCAAGAACUCUACAUGGGCUCCGAGAAACCAUGACCAACCGCUGAAUGUCACCUAUGCCAGACUGAAGUAUGGACCGUCAUCUCUGCCAUUGUUGUGAAUAAAAAGAUAAGUGAUAUCAUUUUUAAAUGUCAAAGAUGACGUUAGACAGUUUUGCUUAAAGUGAUAAUUGUGAUGUGCGAUUGUUGUUGACUUGCUUUGGUAAUCAUUACUGCUGUUGGUAUGCAGACAGACAACACUGUCCAUUCGACUUGAUUAAUAGAGCUAGGACGUUUUAACAUCGUUGAAGCUCAAACUCGGGCAAGGCUCCUCAGUUUACAGCGAGGGACACACUUUUUUGCCCGCAAGCGUAAACGCACUGACGUGGGUCGAUGGUUCGAAAGCGAGUCCGAGUCAGCGUAAACAUUGUUUAAACGCCUAAGCUCUGAAAAUCAAGUCUAAUCGAUAGCGGGUUCGUUCUGUUUUCCAACAGCAAUACUGUUUACCAAAGGCAGUAAGCAAGGUCUUACAUAAUCUUAUCUCUUUUUUCAGUGCGGCAGUAUAACGUAAACUCUGACCUUUGUUACAAAUGGACGUAUUCUAAUUUGCCUAUAUUUGCUUAUACGUGCUUAUGUUAUUUAUCAGCAACUAAUUUGGAAAAAAAUAUAGCAAAUGGUUAUUUGGAACACUUUACAAUUUAAUCAAUAUAUUUGGUCAAAAAAUAUUGGCGACGCACUCUUUGUCCGUAUCUCAUAAACGUCGUGGUGGUAUCUCUAACAUAUCUUUGUUCAACAGCUGUUCGUGCAUUGGGAUAAGGGCAGGAACUUUACAUGGGUUCCGAUACACCCUGGCCAACCGCUGAAUGUCACCUAGUCAGUUUCCAGUUCGUGUCAGAUGGGACAUUAACACGAUCCGGUUCCACUGCUGAAGAAGUAUGGAGCAACGUUUACGGAUGCCACGAAGAUUCCUCAAUUUAGACGUUCCGUGCAGGCUGAACAUCGUUGUAUAUUGAAGAAAUUAGAGCGACUAAAUAAUAUUUUUUUAUAUUUAUGUGUAAAAAAACCCGUAAAAUACAAACACACA
This is a long non-coding RNA of Dreissena polymorpha, 1909 nucleotides long. RefSeq lists it as uncharacterized. The record is from RefSeq and is a predicted model, not a curated record. The transcript has 3 exons. Lineage: Eukaryota; Metazoa; Mollusca; Bivalvia; Myida; Dreissenidae.